UAAUUUUAUGCAGCCAACUGAGGCACUAUUUUCAUUUCUGAAUUCUCAAUCAAGCCCUGAGGCAAAAUGAUCCUGUUUCUUAGCAACCCAGAUGGGCAGAGCCAGAUUAUACAUUUGAGCUCUUUUGUACAACAAAAGAAUAAAUAGCUCCCAGAAUAAACAUGUGCUGUGAGUUCAUCUCUUUGCUCAGCGUCCCCUAGCACUGUAGAGAAGAGAAGCCCGGCUGUGUGAUACAACACGUGAAGCUGGGCAGAGAAACCUGACUUUACAGAGUGUUCUAUUGGGCAGGACUCUGGGAGCCCACCAGAGGGGUUGCAAACCUCCUGACUACCAUAAGGCCUUGCUGUGAGGGGACAAGGAAGGCUGGUUGAGGAACAGGGUCAGUAGAGCCAUGACAAUCUGCAUCCUCUUUCUAGAUGGGGUUAAAAUACCUGUGAGGAAAAAUCCCAUAAUGCUCACCACUAGCUACAAAGGCAGACAGCCCACCUUCUCUUUUGAAAGACAAAUCAAAUUUUCUGCAUGCCUGGAUUUGGCCUUUGCACAGAAUCAAAGUUUUGUGCAGCAGCUCCGAGCCACCCCGCAGAGAGAUAUAUGGCAAAAGCAGCCUCCUGAUUUUAGCUACAAAUUCUAUAAAUCUUCUAGGCCUUCACGAAAACCACUAGAAAAGGAAAAGGAAGAUUUGAAGAAGGCCAAUAGCACUGAGACUAAGCAACAGCUGCCAAAGAUAAAGACCAGCCAGUUCCACACUGCUUCGGAAAGGAAGAAAGAGUUGCCCAAGAUUGUCACAAGGUUUCCACACGUGGGCUCAUAUGAAGUGGAUAUAAUGUUUGUGGAGAAUGGAAAAUAUAAGACUGGCAUAUACCAAGAUCCCAAACCACAUGAUUUUAGGCAGUAUGAAACUAAUAUACCAGACUUUGUGACAAGUUACUCCAGAGACCCUUUCAAUUUAAAGUUCAAAUCUCAACAUUUAAAUGCAAUUCAUGGACUUCAGCCAUUGAAAGACAAGCAAAAGGACACCAAGGGGAGAUUCAUUACUUACAAGCCUUGUGAAUGCAAAUGGGAAUCCAGGCUAAUUCUGCCAAAGAACCCUUGGCCACCGAAGUCUGCUUCAUUUACGAGACACAGAAGGCGACGUGGUGCCCACACGGCGUUCCUAGAUCGUGUGGAUGAAAAGCUAUGUACAAUAUGGCAGGAGGAAGCCUGCCAGCCCAAAUAGCAGGAAGAGGAAAAAGCAAUGCAGUGGAAUUUUUCUAGCAGGAUCCAAGUCAAUGCACCAAGUCCAGCCCUAUGAAAUGUAUGAACCUCAGCAAAUCCUGUGAAAGAUACUAGUGGUGCUUCGCUGCAUUUCUUGUACGUCCUGUUGUGCCAGAUGUCAAAUUUUUGAGAACUCCAACCUGGAAUAACUAACAAGGGCUAGAUCCUGAGCUGUUGUAAACCGGCAUAGAUUGCUCCAUUGACUGAGGAUCUGGAAUAUCUUUAGCACAAUACAGCAGGCAUAACUUUAAAUUUAUACCAGUAUAAAAUGGAAACCCUAAAUCUACUACAGUUUUGCUAAGCUUUGUGUUGUCUUAUCUUUAUAACUGACCAUGGCAACUCUCUCCCUUAUGGAGUUUUUAUUCCUGAAGGAAUGAAGUGGUUGAUACUAUGACUUUCUCAUCCCUAAGAAUGUCUUUUUAUUUUUCUUUCUCCUUCCUGCUCCUCAGUCUCUUCCCCUUCUCAUUAACCCACAUUCCCCUCAUAUUUACUUCCCACACUUUCCCAACAAAUCCACUCCCUCUUCUCUCUAUCUAGACUCCACCUUUUUUAUUUUCUCUCCAAGUUACUCUCCUUUUUCUCCAUCAUUGUAUAUGAAGGAAGGGAAGAGUGAAAGGGGAUGAAGCAAGGGAGCACCACAUUCCCUCUUGUUCUCUGCUUAAUGGCACUCAAUAGAUUCACAGUCUACAGUUUAUUCUCCUGAGGGCUGUAAUACUUUGGUCUAAGUCUGGAUGUUGGAUUUAAUAUGUGGGUGCCGGGUGGUGUUGGUAGUCUGUGAUACACAGGAGGUCAGACUAGAUGGUUUGGCCUUAAGCUCUUUGACUGUCUCUUUGACUCCUGAUGAAAGCCAGAAUGCCCAGUGUUAACGUAUCUUCUGCAGCCCUCUCCCAAGCGAAGAGUUUGGGAACAAUGCCCUGUACCAGCAUGAUCCCACAAUCCCUUCCUCUCCACCCUCACUGAAAGAGUGGAAGUUUUGGCACCGACUCCAGUGGGAGCAGAAUCAAGCCAUGAGAAUUGGAUACUGUGAGGGGGAUUCAAUUCUUGGUGAAGCUGGUGAUCAGCAUCUCUGAGGGUUAGGCUCUUCGAUUGUGAAUUUCUGAGGGUCGGGGCUUGUCUUUUAAAAAGGCUUUAAGGCCCCAGAAGUACAAUUGCAGCAACCUAUAAAUAACACUGUGAGACAAUAUCCAUUUGUCACAUACCCCACUUGAAAUAUUCUGGAGGCAAUGGUGUGUGGUGGGGAAUGUUGUAAUAUUUGAAGAUUUGUGAGUUAGGUAAAACACUAAAAAAAGCAAAGUGACCUCGAUGUGACCCACUGGGGUUCCAGCUGAAAAAUUCUAACUUCUCUUGUAAACCAGCUGUCACAGUUCAGGGCAACUGCACCUGUAUUCCCUCUCCACAUUCAGCAAGGGCACCUGCCCUAGGCACUCAGCUCCACAGUGGUCAUCUCUCUUGGGUAGAGACCCACAUCUCUCCCUCCUGAAUGGAGUUUCUCCAGGCUGCAUGACUCUCUGCCUACAGUGUGAUAUCUCCAGCAAGACAGACUGCCUAAACAGCCAGUGUCUGUGCUUUGCUUACUCUUUGAAGGCUGAUGAACAGCAUCAUUGCCCACAGUUAGAAAUUAGCACACAGCUCUUUCUAAGUAAGCACAUAUAUUGUUAAGGUGAAACCAUUCCACAGAAAACAUAUUAAAGCAAUCAAGAACCUACAUAUGUGCUAACAGUAUUAUCAGAGAUCAUCCCAACUCCAACAAGGGCUUUGGUUAGUGAUCAGACCUUCAAACCCCACCAAGGGGUUUUUCUGUGAUCCAAGUUCAUGACAGCUGUUAGCUCAGAACCAGUCUCCCUGAAUCUGAGAGUUCCCUCAUGAAUUUGAGGGUCCCUCCUUUAUACAAUUUGGGCCUCUGAUCUUGUCCUCGUGUAACAGGUGAUCAGCAGACAGGUCCUCUUCUCAGGAUGAAGCUUAAAAAGUCUGAGGACACUGUUUCAAAUAGUCUUAUGAAGCUCUUAACACUUCCCAGGUUUUACAUCCUAGAGAUGUUACAUACAAUCCUACAAUAAUACAUCAACAUUUGCAUUUUUAAUACAGUGAACUUCUAAAAUACUUAACCAUAAUUCAACAAGGUUUGUCAAGGAUAUUUCAGGAAAUCGCCAUAUCUGUCACACCAGCCACUCACAAUGGGCUUUGCAUCCAACUAUUGACCUCGACGCAGAAAUAGACUAAAGUCAUAAGUAAUCUGUGUAGUAUGAUACACACCAAUGGUGAUUUAGUAUGAGAAAACUGCAUGCUGGAUUGAAUUGCACUUUCAGGCUGAUGACAAUGCACAUGCAGCUUUGGAAAGACAGAGACCCCAAUUUAACUCUCACCAAUGAUACUCCCCUAUACAAUGAUCUCAUAGCUCUGCAUGUACUGCUUUCUCAUUAAGUGUCUCGCCAAUAUUUCUCAGAGGCAGAAGUGUGUAAUAAAUGACCUUUUACAUAUUAAACA
Long non-coding RNA from Chrysemys picta bellii (western painted turtle), 3738 nucleotides. Lineage: Eukaryota; Metazoa; Chordata; Testudines; Emydidae. The record is from Ensembl.